Molecule: unclassified non-coding RNA, 230 nt
Filed under: Hevea brasiliensis (rubber tree)
Lineage: Eukaryota; Viridiplantae; Streptophyta; Magnoliopsida; Malpighiales; Euphorbiaceae
Source: RNAcentral
UUUUUUUUUUUUUAAAUUUCCUUCUUAUCUCUGAGAUAUUCGAGAUAAGAUGAAAUCCCGUGAAUUCUUUGCUUGAUCUGAAAAGGUUAACCUGUCCAGUAAGCCCAACAAAUACCACUUAGCCCACCACGCUUCGCAGCGUACGAUGCUACGCAUUUAUGCGCAGACUUACAACGGAGGCACUCGAACCCGAGACCUCAUGGAUCCUCAGCGGCUCUGAUACCACUUGA